Molecule: long non-coding RNA, 381 nt
Organism: Bubalus bubalis (water buffalo)
Lineage: Eukaryota; Metazoa; Chordata; Mammalia; Artiodactyla; Bovidae
Exons: 3
Source: RefSeq, a predicted model, not a curated record
AAUGCUAGUAUCCUCUGGAAUUCAUUUCCAGAACCUAAAUUCCUGGAUCAGAGUUUACAAAAUAAAAGAGACUAAUGAAAACCAAGGAACGUCUGGUCUUAAGUUGAGAUGCUAAAGGAAUUCCAAGAAAAGGUGAAGGAACAAAGAACAGUGGCCAAACAUCACAAAUGGAAAUGCUGAGCACAUAUCUACACACUUUUGAGGAUAAAAGAAGAUCAGACAUAAAGCACUUGACACAUAACAAUAUGGCCUGAAUCAUCUUGGCUCUGCUUUUCCACAUAAAUUUAGAACAGCUUGGAAGAUUUUUAUUGGGGUUGAAAUUUCAUGAAUCAUGACAAUAGUGAAUACAGUUUUAUUAUAAACUAUAUCAUUAUUACAGCA